UACGGGGGGAGCAAGCGUUGUUCGGAUUUACUGGGCGUAAAGGGCGCGUAGGCGGCCACCGCAAGUCGGUUGUGAAAUCUCUGGGCUUAACCCAGAGGCUGCUUCCAAAACUGCUGUGCUUGAGUGUGGGAGAGGCGCGUGGAAUUGCAGGUGUAGCGGUGAAAUGCGUAGAUAUCUGCAGGAACACCCGUGGCGAAAGCGGCGCGCUGGACCACUACUGACGCUGAGGAACGAAAGCUAGGGGAGCAAACAGG
RNAcentral lists this ribosomal RNA (254 nucleotides) under uncultured bacterium. Its description in RNAcentral is "partial 16S ribosomal RNA". It matches the Rfam family "Bacterial small subunit ribosomal RNA", at positions 524 to 776 of the family's 1533-position model. The record is from RNAcentral.